CUCUUUCUAAAUCUCCUUAGAGUGCACUGCUUCAAGUAGCCACUCAUCCCUCCCGUCCAUAUGGCCAGCUGAACCGCAGUGACAGAAAUCAAGAGCAUGGAACAAUUCAGGGACAGAUGUUUCCGAUCCAGGAGGAGACAGGGCCUGAAAUGAAGGGAGAGGGAGCAGCACUUGGACAAAGGGAGAAAGCAAGGCUGCAAUACAUCAGUCCUGACCCACAGUCCCUCCGGCUGACUGCAAGGAGUUUAUGGUUCCAUUACCGAGGAGUUGAGGCACUGAAAGGAAUCCAACAAGGACCCGGAGCUCUCAAAGCCCUGGCAGAUAUUUUGGUCACUGUGAUGAGAACCUAACAGACCUUGGCACUAUCUCAUGAUGCCAGACAGAAGUGCAAGUCAGAGCUCCCAGGAGCCAGGAGAUCGUGACAGUGAACAGUGUCCACUCAACAGUUGCUUAGCCAUGAAGUCCAGCAGUAAAAUUUUGUUGGAGGAGCGGAGGUUCUUGGGGCAGGUGGAUGUAUACUUCCAUGUCACUUGUAUUGUGUGCGUGUGCAUGGGCCCAGGAGGAUGCACUUUUGCCAUUCCUUGGAAGAGCUUAAAAAUAUCCAGGUUCAUAUGCUGAAACCUGACCACAGAUGUGAUGGUGUUGAGAUGUGGGGCCUGGGGAGGUGAGCAGAUCAUGAAGGCAGAGCCCGCACAAGGGGCCCCACGAGCUCAGCUGUCACUGCCCGUGAGAGGACACAGGGAGAAGGAACCGUCCGUGCGCCAGGGCUGGGAAACUGAAUCCGCCAGCACCUUCAUCUUGGACUUUCUAGCCUCCGUAGCUGUAAGAAAUAAAUUUCUGCUUGUAAACUAUAGAGUUUAUGGAAUUUUGUGAUUGCAGCCAAAUGGACUAAGACAGAAAGUGAGAAAAAUCGAUCCAGAUAAAGGGAGUUUACAGCAGUUUGUUUGGAAAUGCUGUGUGGAAGGCUGAAAUUUUAAGUAGGGCUUUAAAAGAGAGGGAUUUAGACAAACAUGUUUUUUUGGCAAAGAAUAGCGAGUUCGAUUGUGGAGAAAAGAGUAGUGGAAGUCAGGCUGGAAAACGACAGAUGAGCCAGUUUUCCCCAGUCCUAAAGGGGGAUUCAAAGGUCUGACCCAGAGGUCCACGGCUUAGGUCCAGACCAAGGAAGAACAGGGAGAAGAUGAGGGAAAGCCUUUUGAAAAUCCUGGGGCUCAGGUGGCCAGGACACCACCCCCCCAUAUUUGGAAGAGAAUAUGAACUAAAAAUAGGUUGAACAACACUUCUCUAGUGUGUCCACAGAUAGGCCAGCCAGUCUACAGAAGGCACAGCACAGGCACGGAAUGCCAAGCCCUGCAGGGAAGAAAGUCAGACACCGCCAUUCACCCAGUUACCGCCCUGCCUGUUUUCCCCUUGGAGAAGGUCUCAUUAGAACAAUAUUAUAAGCCAUCUUCAGUUCCCAGGACAGCACCAGCACACAGCUCCAUGCACAGCCUCGGUACCAGACGGCCUCCUCCUCUCAUUUCUGCAAUGAAGACUUGGCAUGAAUUUUGAUAUCAUCUCUCUUGAGAAACUAUCCACAAAUCUCCAGCAACCCUGGGCCCAGUCCACGUCAGCUGCUCUCUCCAGUGAUCCCCACAGCACUGUGUUUUCUUAGAGCAUAUUUCUGAACUAUAAGAUGGAGAACAGAGGCAGAGCCUCUUAUUUCAAUUCUUCAAGUGUCUGCAGAGUCUAUUACACGAUAGGUGUAAAAGGUGUUCAGAUGUCUGUGAGUACUUAAGGUGGUGAGUCAGCAAAGCAAAACAAUACCUAACAAACAAAUAAUCCGAGUGUUGGGUUUAAUUCUUAAAGAAAACUAGUUUAAUUAAACAUGGAUAAAAUCAUACAGGGAAAAUUGUUAUACCAACUUAAACAGGACACUGAGACAUUAAACAAACAAGAAUUGUAUAGCCCUGAAAUUUUACUUUUUAGUGUCUUAGUUCACAUUAAAUACAAGGUCUUCCUACUAACAUGUGUAGACUUCUGUCACUGUAACAGGACAGUUUUUGGUGUUAUAAUUUUAAAAUGCUGAGAGGAAGGGGAGGAAAAAGAACGUCGAAGGAGAGCAAAAGGAGAGAAGAAUGAACACUGAAAACCUCCCUUGGAGGCUGGGCAAGUCUGAAGCCAUGGACGAGGGGACGUGGAGGGAAGGUGGGUGCCCUGUGCGCUCCAGCGGGGAAGUGACUAUGGCCCUUGCACAGCAGAGCAGACGAGCCAAGGGAGAGGAGCAGGCCCAGCAACCAGCAGCCACACCGUUGGGAGGAGAGCCCUCAGGUGAGGCACUGAGCAUCCUCACCUGGCCAGACCUUCCCAGGUGGGAGGACAGAGCAGCAUUUGCCCUCUGGAGGAGGAAGGCAGGUUGGGAAGGCUUGAAGCAGAGGGCUACUUCUAGAUUUGAUGCCUGUGGUCCUCUUCUAGACUGGCACUGUGUGAGAUCCGCUUAGUGUUCAGCACCAAUUUGUUUUUGUUUUCUUUGGUAAAAGUAAUUAAUUGUAAAAAUCAACAGAGAAUAAUGUGAUAAUUCAAUACAUACGUAGAGUGCGUAAUGAACAAAGCAGGGUAUUUAACAUUUCCGUCUCCUCAAAUAUUUUUUAAAAGAUUAUUAAUACUAAAGAAUCAUACAUAUUUAAGGGGCUUGGGGUGAUAUUUCAAUACAUGUACAUAAUGUGUACUGAUCAAAUCAGGGUAAUUAACAUUUCCGUCUCCUCAUUAUCUUGUUUGGAGCCUCUUUUAGUUAUUCAUAAGAUACAUAAUAGUGUACCAUGAGGUAGAGUAACUCCUCCUCUGUAGAAGACCAGAAUUCACCACUUCUAUGGAACUGGUGUAAGUUCCCUGAUCCAACCUCCCACACCCUCCUGCCCCUCAACGCUUCCCAGCAUUCAGUAAUUGCCAUUAUAUAUUCCACAAUCAACUUUUAAAAACAUCUACAUGAAAGAAAACUCGUGGUAAUUUAAGAAGUGUCUCACUUCUUUCACUUAACAUAAUGUCUUCCAGGUUUAUCCAUUUUGCUGUAAAUGAUAGGAUAUUGUUAUUUUUUAAAUAUUUAUUUUUUAGUUGUAGUUG
This is a non-coding RNA of Ictidomys tridecemlineatus (thirteen-lined ground squirrel), 3096 nucleotides long. The record is from RefSeq and is a predicted model, not a curated record. Lineage: Eukaryota; Metazoa; Chordata; Mammalia; Rodentia; Sciuridae.